Long non-coding RNA from Dermochelys coriacea (leatherback sea turtle), 9740 nucleotides. RefSeq lists it as uncharacterized. NCBI's taxonomy places the organism in Eukaryota, Metazoa, Chordata, Testudines, Dermochelyidae. The transcript is spliced from 5 exons. The record is from RefSeq and is a predicted model, not a curated record.
GCGAGGAGGAGGUGGAGGUGGAACGGGUCACGUGAUUACUGUAUUAACGGAGCGGGGAGGCGGGCUGCAUGAAGUGCGCACGCGCACGGCUGCAUGGGCUGUAGAGGACCCUGCGGCGGGCGGGUGCGCGAGCGUGUGUCUGUGCUUUGCGGAGGGGAACAGGGCUGUGCAAACCCCGCGUCUUUUACUGUGUUAUCCGAGCUGCCAGCUGCAGCGCUUCGGAGGCAUGCAUUGUUUAGGGGGAAAAGUAAAGACUGGUUGCUGACUGGCUUUGUCCCUGUCUCCCCCGCCUCCAUCCCCUUCCCCUUCCCUUUUAUGGUGGAAACAACUAGUCGCUGCUUGGGCAUCAAUCCAGCCCAGAGCAUACUAGCACCUCCCCACUGCAAAACAGGGAAGCAGCCACUGUGUGGUCACAAUCACAUUCACCCGUCAGAGGCUGAGAACAAGUGUAGCUGCUGUUCCUGCACUUGCACAAAAAUUCUGAUCUAUCCCGGAACAAUAGUACCAUAAAUACCUGCAUCCUGCCAAAUUUUAGACUAGUCCGCCAAAAAAAAAAUACGGAUUUUAGCACAUCCUUUUACAUUUAACUUCAAUUUGGUGUUUGUAUUCCGCUGGAUAUGGCUAAUUUUGGCUGCAUAACUGCCCUUUCCCCCAGUUUUAGCAUCUCAAUUUAGUACAUAGAUGUGCAGCAUGUUCUAGUCCACCAGAAGAAAACAGGUCUCAAACUAUCAUGGUACAAAAUCUAGCUGUUCCAAGUUUUUGCAGCACUGUUAUGCCAGGAUGCAUUGGACUCUGGAGUUUUUGAUGCAACAGAAGCAGCUAGACUUCUUGAAUCAGUGAAAAUUUGGGUGUUGGGGUUAAAACUGGCAAGAUACAGCUUUUACCUAGAGGAUAGUCCCACUUUGAUUUGUAAAUGCUCUACUUUUAGUUCUGUGCUGCCAAGGUUUUAUGACUGAGUAACCCUGUGAUAUGUAGGAGAAAGGGAUUUAUAUAUGACCUUUUGUCCUUUAGUUUAAGGAACAUACUAUAUUUGGUGCCUAAUACCCUUAUCCUAUAGUAAGUCACUAUAUGAUGUACUUUGUCCUGUGCUGCAGCAAUAAUCGUGUGUGACUUUGUAGCACACAAACUAUUUUAUAUAGAAAUCUAUAUUAUACUAUAGAAAUCAGAUUUGGUAUUUUAAUACGUUUAUCCUUUAUUUCAUUUAUCAGUAGGUGGUCACCCUAGGAUAAGAUAGUGACAGGGAUAUUACCUGUCUUUUUCUUUUAUCUAAUACAUUUUAAAAAGAGAAAUGUACAUAUAAUAUCAUUGCCAUGUUGAGUCUGCCAUCCCAGGUUUAUCCUGGCAAUUAUAUUACGAAUGAACCAAAACUGAGAUCUUGAAUCUGCCCCCUUUCAAAUUCCAGGGUGUACAGAUCCAAACCUACCUGUAAAAUUUUAGUUUCAGAACAUAAACAAAACCAGAAGAGGCCUAUUUUCUAGUUGGAAGUAUAGCUGUUCUUGUGGAUCCCAAUAUUUAGUCCUAAAUGGUGGAAAUCUCAUAAGAGCAGCUGAUCUUGGUGAUAUUGACCAUUCGUGAUGGAGGAGAACUCUAGAUCAAUUAAACUCACAAGAUUUCCACCAUUGUGGGCUGAAAUCUUAUUGAAAUAGCUCACAAGAGUUGGGUACUGUUGAAUUCCAACCUUUGUUUUUGAUUGCUAAUCUGAACCUUAUCUGGAUAUAACAAUACAUUCUCUCCCCAUUUCUAAAUAUUAUAGACUUUGUUGAAAAUCUCUUAUUAAUAUAGCACCACUAGUUCACAUCCUGCACAUUGUGAGGUGUGCUAGACAAUCUCAGAAACAAGGUGGGUGAGGUAAUAUCUUUCAUUGGACCAACUUCUGUUGGUGAAAGAGGAAAGCUUUCCUGAGACUGACCUGGCUACCACUACACUGCAUACAACAGUGGAAGAUAAUCUCAGUUACAGUAAGUACAAAAGAAGACAGCCCAGUGUGAAUGUAUUUUAUCUGAGUCUGGGGUGGGCAAACUUUUUGGCCUGAGGGUAUGGAAAUUGUGUGGCGGACCAUGAAUGCUCACAAAAUUGGGGGUUGGGGUGUGGGAGGGGCUGAGGGCUCUGGCUGGGGGUGUGGGCUGUGGGGUGGGGCUGGCGAUGAGGGGUUGGGGGUGCAGGCGGGGGCUCCAGGCUGGGACCGAGGAGUUUGGAGGGCAGGAAAGGGAUCAGGGCUGGGGCAGAGGGUUGGGGCCUGGGCAGCGCUUACCUCAAGCAGCUCCUGGAAGCAGCGGUAUGUCCUCCCUCCAGCUUCUACUUGGAGGCGCAGCCAGGCCACUCUGCGCAUUGCCCUGUCCGCAGGCACCGCCCCUGGAGCUCCCAUUGGCCAUGGUUCCCAGCCAAUGGGAGCUCCGGGGGCAGUGAGGGGAGCCCUCUGGCUACCCCUACAUGUAGGAGCAGGAGGGGGGACAUGCUGCUGCUUCGUGGAGCCAUGGCAUGCAUGGAGCAGGGCUGACCCCGCUCCCCAGCUGGAGCACUGGAGUGGGACAAGCCCUGGAUCCUGCUCACCGGCAGGAACUUGAGGGCUGGAUUAAAACAUCUGGAGGGCCGGAUGUGGCACCCAGAUCGUAUUUGUCCACCUCGAUCUAAGUACUUAUAUGGCCUGUAUCAACAUAGUGUCUGAGUGCCUGAAGAGUAUUUAAAAAUAGAAACAACAAUCUCUGUCUCUUCCUUCCUUUCCAGCCACCAGGAGAAAUAGCUUUAUUAGUUCAUGGUGAGCUUUGUGUAUGUAUAUAAUGUAUUGAAGACAACCUACCAUAAGUCAAAGAGAUUAGUUUUAUAUUUACAGCUAAACACAGGAAAGUUAAUAGCUGGAAUGCAUCAGAAACAGAUGGAUCUUCAUGGAUUCCAUCUUCCUCUUUUGAUGAAAACCAGAUAGCAACAUUUUCCAUAAAGUAAACUAAAAGACAAGGGCGGCAUUUUUUCAUGAAGAAAAAAAUGUGUGCCAAGGUCCUAGAUUUCAUGAUGUGAGUAGGGUUUUCAGUCUUAAGCGGAACGUGGGAAAGAGUACAACAUAAGGCACACAUAGAAAGUCUUUUAUUCAGAAUUUUGGGGUGGGGUGUGGAAGAAUACCUGUGUACUUCCAGUCUUCUUAUAUGGAUCUGAAACAUGGACAUUGCUUAAAGAAUUCAUCAGGAGGCUGGAGGCAUUUUAUAUGCAUUGGUAGUGGCAAUUACAGGGCAUAAGAUGGUUUGAUUUUAUCAGUAAUAGGGAGAUAUUAUUGAGAACUGCCUUGGAGAGGAUAGAAAUCAUUGGUCACCACCGGCAGGCACUUUUUGGUUACCACCGGCAGCCCCCAUCGGAGAUAAAGUGCUCACAAAUUGAGCCCAGAAGAUCAGACUUGAGGUCAGGAGGGGACAUUGUCCGGCCACAGGCUGGUGGCAGCUGCAGUCUUCAGCGAUUAACUUGGCUGCACCAGAUCGGUGAUAACCCUAUGAAGCUUUCAGAGGCCUGGAAUAAAGCUGUACAAUGUGACCAUGGACAUUCAGCAAAUAGAUCCUUAUCAUGUAAGCGUUGUGCUGGUGGUGUUGAUUUGAAAUGGUAGAAGUGAUAGUUACCCAUACAAAAAUAAGAAAUUAUUGUCAGAUAAUUUAACUGAAAAAGAAAUAGGCAAUUUGCAGUGUAAAUUGGCAUAUUAUGCAAAUUAAGAUAAUUUUAUCAUAAUACUUAGCACUGGUAUGGCACAUUAUGUUUUCAAAGCCCUGUACAAACAUUAACUAUGUCUUAUACUCCAAUCCACAAAUUGAUGUUAUAAGAGACAUUUAGAUCCUCCCAAAAGAGUAUUUUAUUCACAGGAUUGGGUGGGAAAGUAGUUGGACUGGUACAAAUGACAUCUUUUUCAGAGCAGUUUCAAGAACUGCAUCAUGUUACAUUUUGAGCUUUCAACUAAUGCUGCUAAACAGGUUUGUGCAUUAUUCUUGUGUAUCCUGAAAUGUUUAAGUGCACAUUGUUUGGUUACUCCAAUAACCUCUAAUCCAUAGCAUUGUAGAAACAUCUAAAUCAGCCGGGAAAGGCUGAGAUUGUGAGAGGGAUUUAGAGAAGCAACCUAGGAGUUAGGGCUCUGUCCCACAGCAGGGAGGCCAGAAGACAAGCUGAUGAGCCCAAGUGGGGCAAAAGAACUUCUUUGUUGGGACUUUUGUUACCCUGAAAGGGAAUGGAACUCUGAUGGUGACCUAGCUGGAGAGCUAAGCCCUGGGAAUUCCUGGGAGAGAGAAAAGACCCUGGGGAGGGAAAACUGAGGCAGACUGCUGUAAAGCCACCUGAGGCCAUGAGGAGGUGCUUAGGAAGUGGCUGCCUGAGCACAGGGACAUUUAAAAAUAUCAAAAAUUGCACAGCAGUCUUUGUGGGAGCAGGUUGUUGAUGGUUGCCAACUUUCUCUCCCCAUGAAAAAUCAUUGCCCCCUCUCUCUUGAUCCUUUCUGAGCUGUGUUGAGAUCUAAGGGGAUUUGUAUUUGAACAAUGUUUCUUGGUUGAAUUGACAUACUGCUUCUUGCACAAUUUGUUAUUACAAGUUUUUCUAAUGGCUUGUCUUGAAUGGCUGUUUCAUUGUUACCUUGAAUAAAUGAUUUAUUGCCUGUUUUUAGUGUUGUAGAGCUCUUUGUUCUACACUUCUAUUUCCUUUUUCUUGCAGAAAUAAUUCCUUAGUUUUCUUCCUAUGCAAUUAUAGCUUAUGAGUCUGUGACCAAAGAAAAAGGGGAACUGCUUUUCUCUUACAGCAAUCUGAGCUGCAGUUUGCAACUGAAGUUGGUUCUAGCUGUUUAAAAAGCACUGGAGUUUUAAAAAUGACCUCAGUGUGGGGGAAAAGUGGGUUCAUGCCCUGUUUUGCUUCUUCAUAAUGUAGCAGGAACACCUGUACUUAAUUUUUUUCCCUUAUUUCUUUUUACACUAGGUAUUCAAGUUUUGUUCACUUUUUCUUUCCUGGAAGACUCCAUGGUUAACUGGGAGAACUAGUGCGUUUGUGACAAUGAGAUACCAUGCAAUUCCAGCCUGGUUAUCUGAGAGAGGAAGUGAUUUGUGUUCAGACUAUGUGAACCACUUUGUUUUUUAGCCCCAAUUUAAAUCAAGACCCUGGUGAACAGUCAGAAGAAACACUCUUAUUAAAGCUCCAGUGACUGAUAUCAAUUGUUAAGUUAUCGGCUUCUCUCCGACAGUUCAGUAUGUAUGUUCAGUCAAGCAGUGCUCUUCUUGUAACUGACUACAUUCCUUUUCUAACUUGUUGUGGAAUAACUUCUUCUCAGGGCCACCCUAGAGAGGCAACUAUGACAAAUCCAUGUAAAUAUUCUGAAAAUAAUCUCCUUAUAGGAACAGAUAAAACUAUACAAAAGGAGGAAAAAACCCUGAAUCUUGCUUGGCUGACCUUUUGGUCAACCAGCUGAUGGGUGUGGUGAAGUUAUUGCUGUAAUAGUACUUAUUACAAAUUGUCCUCUCUAUCAUAGGAGUUUGACUUAGUUUAAACAUUUUUGUUUGGUUUAUAGUCAAGACCUUUCUUAAAGUUAGCUUGUUCACUCUCUGGGGAAGGAUAAAUAUCAGUGUCAUCUACCAUCCAUACUGCUAAACCAAUCAACUUCCCUGUACCCACCUCUACAAAAACAACAUUGUAAAUUGUAAUGACUUCAAACACUGCAGCGUUUAUUACUAGUUAUGCAUUAUAAUAGCAUGAUUAGAUGCAGCAAGACAAUGUGAGCAUCUCUGAAGUAUAAUGGCCUGGCAGGCUACUGGUAAUGCAACAUGCUGUCAUGUGGAAGACUAACAUCUAGGUCCAAGGUCAGGUCCUCACUUCCUGGGCCAGCAGAAUAGAGGGGUACUGCAGAGGUUCCAGUCAAAACAAGCGCCAGUCUUCUGUGGCUGGAGUAUGGCAAGUAGUCUUGGUGAUGUUGGGUUUGUAGCAAGGACAGUCGCUGAAUGAUAAGAAAAAUCCACUAGAGGCUGAGAUGUGUUUGACAGUCACCCUUUCUGGGUUGGGUUUUGUUGCAUGGGUUCUGUAUGAUGUCCAACUUGGCAAAAGCUUCUACCUGCAUUCUUCCACACGGUUUAAAAAGUAGUAGACUCAAAACGAUAAAAUACAAACCAAACUGGGUUGCUCUUGUAUUUCCUCAGCACUCUCUGCCCUGACUUCUAGAACACAGAAUGCCUAUACUGCUGUCUUCUGCCUAGAACUAAUCCACCCUUCUUUUAAGGGAGUUAGCAGCACCUAAUCAGAUGCUAGCUCAGGAUAUCUCCCUGUGUUGCGUCUGAACUCUAGCAGGAGAUGAUCAUUAACAUAUCCAAUAUAUAAACAGGGGAAACUGAGGCACUGUGCGGUUAAGUGGCUUGUCUUAGCUCUCACAAUGUGUCAGUGUCAGAGUUGGAAACAGAAACAAAAGGGAUAUAGAGUAAUAAUCUCUCUCUCUUUCUGGCCCAGAAACUGUUCAAAUAUUUUCUACAAACUGGAACAGCUUCAACAGGAGAGAUUGAGAAAAACCCAGUACAGAAUAUCCCACAGCCCAGUUGUUAGGGACUCACCCAGAUGGAGGAAGCCCCAUGUUCAAGCCCCUGUUCCAAUGAAUAUUCAAGUAUUUUAUACAAAGUGGAACAGUUUCAACAUGACAGACUGAGAGGGACACACCCAAGAAUAGCCUACAGCCUGGUAGUUAGGACACCCACCUGGAAUACGGGUGAGGGAAGGGGAGAUCUGGAUUCUAAUCUCUGCUCCAGACCAGAGCAGAGGUUUGAACCUGAGUCUUCCCUCUUCCAGAUGGGUGCCCUAACCACUGGGCUAAAGGCUAUCCAAGGGACUUCACUUACUCAGCUGUGCGUUUUAUGAAUGGUACCAAGGUCCCCAUGUGAAUUUAGUUUUUUUUUUUUUAAAUGGCCAAAACUAUUGAGCAAAUUCAUUAAUAGUUUCAGGCUGACUGAAACUGCAUUUUUCAUGGAAUAAACUAUUUGAAAAAUUUUGCUGGACCCCAUGUGGGAUGCUUUCCAAAAAAAUCCUGCAAAGACUGAACUCUGGCCUGUAUUUCAGCAAAGAGUUACACUAAGGUGCAGGAAAGGGGAGUGCACCAGUAGCAGUUGUACAUUAAUUUAGCCCAUCCCAUUAUACAAAUUGAUUCCUGCAAAUGUUGGGUUUCAACAUAGAAAAAUGUUUGUACAGUUUCAACUCUGUUCUCACAACUUUAUACUGCUCUCCCCAGAUAAAACCAAUAUAUCCCUGAUCUCUUUUGUGUCCCACCUGAUCCUAUCUAUAAGAUGCUUCUCCUUUAAAAAAUAAAAAGGAAAAGAAAGGAAAUUCCCAGUUAAAAACUUAUCUUCAUUAACUUCUCAAAUAAUAAUGAUCAGUUAAAGUAAGGUGGAUAGAGAUCUGAAUAUCUUACAAUUCUUGUAGAUUGGAUUCCCAUAUCUGCUGCAGUCUCAGACUGUAUUAUCUUUUCUGCAGAUUCUGCAUGAGGUUGAUGGAGGGACAAUGUACAUCUUACAUUGCCUCUCUGCCUUCCAAACCCUGCAGAGAACUUCCAUGUACCAGAGAUUAAGGAUGUGUGCCAUGGAGCAGGGCUGACCCCCUACUUUUGUACAGGAACAAAGAGAUCUGUGCACAGAAAAGAUCUUCCAUAUGGCAAUCUGUGGGGGAUGGAGAAGAAUAACAACAAUCUGGCUCUAGAGUAUUAAGACAAAGCUGUGCUUAUUUAUCAUUGUAACCAUUAUGAUUUAUCCGCAUUUGCAAAGCAUCAAACAUCAUAAUGGAUCUGGGCCCAAUUUUUUAAAACAGUAGCACACUGCCAGAAAAUGGCAAAAAAAGGACAGUCUUCAUAUAUCCUGGACCACCACCAUAAUUUAAAGGAACUCAGAAGCGCUAUUUCCCCAUGAAUACAUCCUUGAUCCUAAUGAUAUUUCUGUAAAUGUUUUAAGUAAAACAUGUUUUCCCUUCCAAAUGUGUUCUGUAAUUUGAUGCCUUCAAAGAAAGGUUGUAUGAGUCAUCUUCAUGAAACAUGCAACUGAGGUGCAUCACUGUGUAGCCAACUAAAAUAUCCAAGUACUAUUAGCAGUGUUAUGUUACUUAUGUAGUUGCCCAAGGUUCUAAGAACCAAAUCUGUUCUUUUUACUACGGUAAGAAUUACUGUUGUGUUUUUUAUGUGGAAAGUGAGGCUAACAUCACAACUACAGAAUUAAGAUAAAAAUUUAGUUUGAAAGACAAGUUACUGCAGAGGUAUUCUCAUUAGAAAUCCAGUGAGACAUUAGGCAUUGACCUGUGACCCACCAUAUCCAAUAUUACUUUUAUUUCUUGUUCAGUACUUGAUGCUUUAAUAUCCGUUUUCUAGAUUAAUUCUAGCAUGGGCUGUCAGAUUGGAUGGAGAAUUCUGUGUGUUUUUGGGUGGUUUGGAUUUGUAAAAUUUCAGAUUUUGCCUGGAAUGCUCCAUUAUUUCUAAUUAUUCCCUUUUUUCUGUUAUGAGAGUGAAAUUUACUUCUUCCUGUACCAGACAGAAUAAAUGGGCUGAUGUGCUGAAGGUUGGAAAGGAUGGAAUUCACACCUCAAAACCUAUGGGCAAGGUGUGUGCAUGUCCCGAGCACAGUCAUCAGAAAUUUUUCUCUUAGUGGUACCCGUCGGGGCAGCUCAGGCGCCCUCUGGUGCCACGCACUCAUAGCGCUGGUAUAAAGGAUUCAGCUGGCGACGCACCCCCUCAGUUUUUUCUUUACCGCCAGUUCCGGUGUUGAGGGGUAGCAGGGCGGCUCGUGGAAUGGACAUUUGUAAAACAUCUCAAAGAACAACUGUUAUGGAGAGGCAAUUGAGGAAACGGAUAGACGUGAAAAAACAGACCUGUUAUCCAUCCAAGGGUGGAAAGCUGAUAUUGCUGCAAGAUAGCAAAGUUUUGCUGUUUCCGAUAUAAUAAGGACUCAAGAAUGACCUGCAGCAACAACCGCAUGGGCAAGACUCCACAAUAGGAAGCCCAGAUAGAGAACCGCUUCCAUUCUGAGAGGUUGCAAACAGAUCUACCCGGGGAGCCCUCCACUGCUGAAAAAUAACCCUCAUGAUGUCCGGACGAAGGGAUCACUCAUGGUGAUUGCAGAAAGACCUACUGAGGAGAUCUGCCAGCUCGUUCUCUGCUCCCUGCAGAUGGAAAUCCUUGAGGAAGGCCGCCACUCCCACCAUGCAUUUUGCAAACACCUGCGGGGCUGCCGACAGGCCGAAUGGGAGAACUGUGAAUUGGUAGUGUGUGUGGUUCACAAUGAACCUGAGGAACCUUUGUGGCCUUGAAGAAUCGACAUAUGAAAGUAGAUGUCUCUCAAAUCAAGGGUGGUGUACCAGUCUCCGGGAUCCAAGGAAGGAAUAAUGGAAGCCAGGGAGACCAUGCAGAACUUCAGUUUCUUGAGGUAGCUGUUGAGCUGGCGCAGGUCUGAGACCACCUUUGGCUUUCAGGAUUAGGAAAUAACAGGAGUACAACUCCUUCCCCCUUAGAUUAUGUGUAAUCUCUUUCACAGCUCCCACCUGAAAGAGAAAUUGAAACUUCUGGGCCAGAAGUUGCUCAUGAGAGGGGUCCCUGAAGAGGGACAGUGAGGGAGGGUGGUAAGGAAUGGUAAAAAUGAACUGGAGGUUAUAUCCUACUUUCACAGGCACCAGCUUCUAAUUUCCCACGAAGGUGCUCAACCCCCGCUCAGCCCCACCCCCACUCCACCCCUGCCCCCAAGGCCCCACCUCCACCCUGCCUCUUCCUGGCCCCACUCCACCCC